UUCUUUCCUUCUUCUUUUUGCUCGCUACCAGCAGCAUCCUCUCAACCGGUCUCCUUGCUAAGCCCGGUAUUUCAUCGGGUGCUUCAUUCAAGAACAAAUCUGUUCUAGAACGUCCUCUAUUGCAACCCGGAAUGAAGAGCCGGCUUACGUCACAGAUAGAGAGAGGGCCUGAGGGAGGGAGGGAGAAUAGAGGGAAUGGGGUGGACCAUCAAGACGCAGAGUCCACGCCACGCGCAUUCUCCUCCGAGGACGUGGCUCGAGAUGCUGCGUGGAUGCUAUUGCAGCUAAAGCAAUGGCGCUUUCUUCGAUACCAAGUGGAUCAAGUUGAGGUGACGCUAGAACGAAGGCUUGGCUUGCUUCCUACUCUUCCUUAGAAAUACGACAACUUUACAAAUAGGACCCGAAGCUUUUUGGGUGGAUUUACCAUAAUGCAUGUAUGCGAACCUACAAGUCCAAUUGCACAACACGUAGACGUUGGCCCACACGAAGACUUCUUCGGACUGCAGAGAGAUGAGGCAGAAGAUGAAAAAGAAGAAGCGGAGGAGUGUGGGUGGAAGGAGGGAUGGAUAGAUGGAUGGAAGACUUUGCGGGAAGCGGCUGAACCCGGAGCAGGUGAACACAGCUGCGAAUCUCCGUGACGGGAUCUCGCUGGCUGCCUUCCUCGCGCCGGGGCCCCCCGGCGAUUGCGUUCAAGGGUCCCGGCGAGCCGACAGGGGCCAGGCAGAGUGGGCAGGCGAGGGCGGGCCCGAGCCAGGAGAGAUGCAGGUGAGGCGGGCGAGCCGAGGCGCCCGCCGCCGCCGGCUAGGAGCCUCCGCGCUGUCAAAUCAAUAGAGGCUAGCAGAGGUUGGCCAGAACCGCCUGCAGGCCCCUUGGAGCCAUGGGACCGACCGCCAGUUCCCACCUCCAUCUUUUUUUUUUCCAACUUCCUCCAACAGUCCUGGGCCAGAGCCCUCACCCUUGCGCCCGGCCCACACACGGAUGUUUCGGUGUGGGCUCGGUCCGUAGAGAAUUUUUGAAACAUUGCCACUCAGAGGCGGGACUCAAGGGCGGAAAAAAGAAGAAGCAAAAAUGUGGAGGACAAAAAGCAAGAGUUUCUUCUUGAUUCGCAAAGGUGGGGGGAGGAGGAUGAACAGGACGCUCCAUCCGAGCCCAAUAUACCUUCAUCUCACAGGCUCGGAUGAAAGGACAACUUCUUCUCCAAUCUGCUGUAUUCUUUUAUUGCUUUAUAUUUCCUGAGCCGCACUAAGAGCAGCCGCCUUCAGAGGAUGUGGAAGUGCAGUAUUGAUCUGGAAGGUGGAGCGGAGAAAAAGAUGAGGGCUUUCACAGCUUCGUCUCCGCGUGGAAGCAGAAGUCAACUCCUCAUUGCUAAUGAAUGGCCGCUAAUGAGUCGACUUUUUCCCUCUCUCAUAUAAGACUCACCCUUUUUUUUUUUAAACCCCUGUAAAAAAAAAAAUCCAAAUGUGAAGACAAGUUGUGAGAUGGGACAUCGGUUCCUGAAAAGCUCAACACAGAGAGUUUCUGCUUUUUGGCUUGACAUGGACAGCACAGGGAUUGACUACGAUGGGGUCCUCGCCGCAUCCAAGUGAGGGCAAUAUGGAGCAUGUGAAGAUGAAGCCACCAUUUGUCGCCAUGACGAUGUGAAGCUGCACUCUUGGACGGGAACACAUGCAACUAAGUGCAAUCUUUAUAUUUAUAUGAUUUUUUUUUUUUUAUAUGUCCACAUUUAGAUGUGACAAGUUUGAUAUGUCAUGAUAUGAUUGGUCUUUUUGGAUGUGACUACUUUAUAUUGAAGAAGUUUCUAAAAGGUAUGUUUAAGAAUACUAAAUGAUCAAAACAAAUUGAUGUAUUUUUAGUACUGUAUCAUCAUUUAAUCAGAUUUUUUUAUUAUUAUAUUCAGAUUAUUUUGUCUAAUUAAAAGCAUGUAUUGCUAAAAUGUUACAAUUUGAUUUGUUGCCCUAGUUGGAAAGUUGUUUUUAAGAUAAGGAGACAUAUGGAAUUCAUUUGUUUUGCUUAGAAAAAGAAAAUUGCAAUUUUUUGUGUGAAAAAAAUGAAAAACAAUGAUCAUUUUUCCUCUCUUCAAUUGAUAAAAUUGGAUUUUUAAAUCAUAAAAACUAGGAUUACUUCUUUGGAAUGAUGGAAUGAUGUGAUUUCCAAUAAAUGCAUGACUUCAAACCACA
Long non-coding RNA from Syngnathus acus (greater pipefish), 2177 nucleotides. RefSeq lists it as uncharacterized. Lineage: Eukaryota; Metazoa; Chordata; Actinopteri; Syngnathiformes; Syngnathidae. The record is from RefSeq and is a predicted model, not a curated record. The transcript is spliced from 5 exons.